CAAGCACUACACUCCAUGAACUACUCAACAAAUAGUUACAUAAAGAUUUAUUAGAUCUGCAGGAAAAUUACUUUAAGUCCUGAAACUCUUUAUAGAUUCUACCAACAGAAUGGUUGAUGAUCUGUUUAAGGCUGUAAUGGAAUUUGAGCAGUCUGAGGAGGAGGAGCAAAAAUGCCCGAAAGUCACCAGCCAGACCGCAUUCAAAACCAUGUCUGAGGAUUUCGCAUGGAAUUGGGGAGAUGGAAUUGGGAAUUAAAGACUGAAACUUGUCACAGAAGCCAAGGCCAAGAAACUCCUGGCAGAUCAAUUCAAACUGGACCCUAAACUCAUCGAGAUGGAGAAGGCUCAUAGGAAUGGCUUAUAGGAAUGACACAUUCUUCCUCGAUGGACGGCCCAGAUCUAUAGCGUUACGCCAAAACUGCACCCCGUUAUUCAGAGGGGCGUUCUACUACUCUCCCAUUGGCCUUCUAGUGUUUUCUCACUCACAGGCGAUCAGCGCAAAGACAGUGACCUUCCAAGAGUUGCAAUGGGUUGUAAAAAUGUCUCAGAAAACUCUGCUGAAUUCCCUCAAUUGAAGGUCAGGACACAGAGGCCCAGCUGAAAACUAUUUUCCUGCAUUUUUGCAAGCCUAUACACAUGGAGAAUUUCGAAGAUAUUCUAAAACGGGUGGACAUCGAUUUUUCAGAAUUCCAAACACUCCAAGAACC
This is a long non-coding RNA of Oncorhynchus tshawytscha (Chinook salmon), 707 nucleotides long. The record is from Ensembl. NCBI's taxonomy places the organism in Eukaryota, Metazoa, Chordata, Actinopteri, Salmoniformes, Salmonidae.